CACUCUAAGCGGUGGAUCACUCGGCUCGUGUGUCGAUGAAGAGCGCAGCCAACUGCGCUAAUUAAUGUGAAUUGCAGGACACAUUGAACAUCGAAAUCUUGAACGCAUAUUGCGGCUUCGGGUGCUAAUCCUGAAGCCACGCCUGUCUCAGGGUCGUUUGAAGUUCCAUCACGAG
RNAcentral lists this ribosomal RNA (175 nucleotides) under Xetadrilus aphanoides. RNAcentral describes it as "Xetadrilus sp. a TF-2018 5.8S ribosomal RNA". The stretch from base 1 to 156 matches the Rfam family "5.8S ribosomal RNA". From Rfam's summary of the family: 5.8S ribosomal RNA (5.8S rRNA) is a component of the large subunit of the eukaryotic ribosome. It is transcribed by RNA polymerase I as part of the 45S precursor that also contains 18S and 28S rRNA. The record is from RNAcentral. Lineage: Eukaryota; Metazoa; Annelida; Clitellata; Enchytraeida; Enchytraeidae.